RNAcentral lists this ribosomal RNA (468 nucleotides) under uncultured bacterium. RNAcentral's name for it is "partial 16S ribosomal RNA". It matches the Rfam family "Bacterial small subunit ribosomal RNA", at positions 28 to 507 of the family's 1533-position model. The record is from RNAcentral.
GACGAACGCUGGCGGCGUGCUUAACACAUGCAAGUCGAACGGAAAGGCCCUGCUUUUGUGGGGUGCUCGAGUGGCGAACGGGUGAGUAACACGUGAGUAACCUGCCCUUGACUUUGGGAUAACUUCAGGAAACUGGGGCUAAUACCGGAUAGGAGCUCCUGCUGCAUGGUGGGGGUUGGAAAGUUUCGGCGGUUGGGGAUGGACUCGCGGCUUAUCAGCUUGUUGGUGGGGUAGUGGCUUACCAAGGCUUUGACGGGUAGCCGGCCUGAGAGGGUGACCGGCCACAUGGGGACUGAGAUACGGCCCAGCCUCCUACGGGAGGCAGAAGUGGGGAAUAUUGCACAAUGGGCGGAAGCCUGAUGCAGCAACGCCGCGUGCGGGAUGACGGCCUUCGGGUUGUAAACCGCUUUCGCCUGUGACGAAGCGUGAGUGACGGUAAUGGGUAAAGAAGCACCGGCUAACUACGUG